This 87-nucleotide transfer RNA is filed under the name Bacteroidetes bacterium GWF2_49_14. Its description in RNAcentral is "tRNA-Leu". It matches the Rfam family "tRNA". From Rfam's summary of the family: Transfer RNA (tRNA) molecules are approximately 80 nucleotides in length. Their secondary structure includes four short double-helical elements and three loops (D, anti-codon, and T loops). Further hydrogen bonds mediate the characteristic L-shaped molecular structure. tRNAs have two regions of fundamental functional importance: the anti-codon, which is responsible for specific mRNA codon recognition, and the 3' end, to which the tRNAs corresponding amino acid is attached (by aminoacyl-tRNA synthetases). tRNAs cope with the degeneracy of the genetic code in two manners: having more than one tRNA (with a specific anti-codon) for a particular amino acid; and 'wobble' base-pairing, i.e. permitting non-standard base-pairing at the 3rd anti-codon position. The record is from RNAcentral. Lineage: Bacteria; Pseudomonadati; Bacteroidota.
GCCCAGGUGGCGGAAAUGGUAGACGCGCAUGGUUGAGGGCCAUGUAACCGGUAGGUUGUGCAAGUUCGAUUCUUGUCCUGGGCACAA